CCGUGCGCCUUCAUGAGGACUUUUAUCCUGAAAUACGAGCGCGCGUGACCGGAAGUGGCGCUUCAGCUGAUCAGAUUAACUGUAAACGGCUCCUUCAGCAUUUCGCUGUUAAAAUUGUGUUUAGUUAAUUAAUCGGUCAGGUCAGCACAGCCAGUCGCUCAUUACAGGUGUCAGGAUGGUGUGUGAGCUGCUGCUGUCCUCGCUCUGGUUCCUGUUCCUCAUCUUCUGGCUGGAGAGCAUCAGUGUUUGGCUCUUUCUGUGUCUGUACUAUCAGGACGGGGUUUUCUAUCACUGGGCUUCAGGUGAGCUUGCAGGUGAUCCGGAUCAGCUCCUCUAUGUGUUGAGCAGAAUCGAUCUGUCUGCGCACAUGCAGACACGAGGAGGUGAUGUCAUCACGCCAGGGUCAGAGGUCAGCGGGUCGUCGUGACCUCCAGAGACUGCAGACCGACAGAGCGGCGAGAUUCAGCGCACAAGCAGCAGGAACUCACAUGAAACCUCUUUAGAACUGUUACCUGCGUGAACACGGACGGCAUUUAACCAGUCCAUGUUUAUAAACUAGCUGGAAUUUCAUUCGAGAAAGUAUUAACAGCUCCAGAUUAACUUUGACCGAAUUAUCGUGUGUUCUAUUUUUAUACCAAUUUCUCUCUUUUUUUCACCUAAUAAUAAAAAUAAAGCAGCUUUAAACAGUUUCUCUGAGGUUUCGUUUCUACACUAAACAGAAACCAGAAAAAUCUGCUUCGAUGGAAAUAAAAAUAACGCUUUAUAUUUCAUACAACCUGAAGAACCUUCACAAACAACCACCGAUCAAUCAAACCCUUCUAUUUUCACAUUAUAUCAGUGCUGCUACUGUGUAUAUUAGUUGUCUAUAUAAACACACACACACAUACAUAAAUAUAUUUAUAUAUGAAUAUAAAUAAUACAUACUGUAUGUGUGUGCAUUUAUAUAAACAGAAUAAAUAUACACAGCACACACCAAUUAUGUAAACAAACUUUUAUAUUGGAUGUGAUUAAUUUUUGAUCAAGCAUUAUAGUAAGGUUACUUGUGUUCACAUUAGUUAAUGCAUAACAAAACAACAUUUUUACAGCAUUUGGAAAUCUGGUUUGUUGCUAAAUCACGUGUGUUCAUCUAUUUGUUUACCAUUUUCUUCUCUACUUCAUGAAAGCAAGGUACUGUGUUACACAGCUAAAAUAAACACCUCUGUUCAUGUAACUGCACUACAUGAAUAAACACUGAUGUACAUCAUUAUAGAAGAUUAUAAAUACAUGAAUAUAUAUAUAAAGAGUGUGUAAUUUGUCUGUGUGCGUGUGAGUUUGAUUCAGGCGCUGAUCGGGGCAGCCGCGGCGGUGGGGUCCUUCAGCAGAAGUCGCACACUGUCGAUAAACUGAUUUAAACUGUUAAUGUGUGUGUUUCGCCGUUGUUUAUCGAUUAUUU
Molecule: long non-coding RNA, 1432 nt
Filed under: Sinocyclocheilus grahami
Lineage: Eukaryota; Metazoa; Chordata; Actinopteri; Cypriniformes; Cyprinidae
Description: lncRNA (ENSSGRG00000017944.1)
Source: RNAcentral